Molecule: transfer RNA, 72 nt
Filed under: Chelonia mydas (Green sea turtle)
Lineage: Eukaryota; Metazoa; Chordata; Testudines; Cheloniidae
Rfam family: tRNA
About the family: Transfer RNA (tRNA) molecules are approximately 80 nucleotides in length. Their secondary structure includes four short double-helical elements and three loops (D, anti-codon, and T loops). Further hydrogen bonds mediate the characteristic L-shaped molecular structure. tRNAs have two regions of fundamental functional importance: the anti-codon, which is responsible for specific mRNA codon recognition, and the 3' end, to which the tRNAs corresponding amino acid is attached (by aminoacyl-tRNA synthetases). tRNAs cope with the degeneracy of the genetic code in two manners: having more than one tRNA (with a specific anti-codon) for a particular amino acid; and 'wobble' base-pairing, i.e. permitting non-standard base-pairing at the 3rd anti-codon position.
Source: Rfam by way of RNAcentral
GGCAGGGAUGCCUAGUGGAUAGAGCACUGGUCUGUGACUCAGGAGAUCUGGGUUAUAUUCCCAGCUCUGCCA